ACACACACACACACACACACACAUACCGUAUAUAUUUAUAAGUGUGUGUGUGUACGUCUCUCUCUCUCUCUCUCUCUGUAUAUAUAUAUGUGUGUGUGUGUGUGUGUGUGG
RNAcentral lists this microRNA precursor (111 nucleotides) under Podarcis lilfordi (Lilford's wall lizard). Lineage: Eukaryota; Metazoa; Chordata; Lepidosauria; Squamata; Lacertidae. The record is from RNAcentral.